AUCAUCUGGUGAUCUUGUUAAAAUGCAGAUUCUGACUCAGUAGGUCUAAAGUAGGGCCCUAGAUUCUGCAUUUUUAACAAGCUCCUGGGUGAUACCAA
Molecule: microRNA precursor, 98 nt
Filed under: Equus asinus (donkey)
Lineage: Eukaryota; Metazoa; Chordata; Mammalia; Perissodactyla; Equidae
Also listed under: 1 other name
Description: mir-544 microRNA precursor family
Rfam family: mir-544 microRNA precursor family
Source: Rfam by way of RNAcentral